This 772-nucleotide ribosomal RNA is filed under the name Nocardiopsis sp. RNAcentral describes it as "bacterial SSU rRNA". It matches the Rfam family "Bacterial small subunit ribosomal RNA", at positions 54 to 832 of the family's 1533-position model. Lineage: Bacteria; Bacillati; Actinomycetota; Actinomycetes; Streptosporangiales; Nocardiopsidaceae. The record is from RNAcentral.
CAUGCAGUCGAGCGGUAGGCCCUUCGGGGUACACGAGCGGCGAACGGGUGAGUAACACGUGAGUAACCUGCCCCUGACUCUGGGAUAAGCGGUGGAAACGCCGUCUAAUACCGGAUAUGACACACCACCUCAUGGCGGUGUGUGGAAAGUUUUUCGGUCAGGGAUGGACUCGCGGCCUAUCAGCUUGUUGGUGGGGUAAAGGCCUACCAAGGCGAUUACGGGUAGCCGGCCUGAGAGGGCGACCGGCCACACUGGGACUGAGACACGGCCCAGACUCCUGCGGGAGGCAGCAGUGGGGAAUAUUGCGCAAUGGGCGAAAGCCUGACGCAGCGACGCCGCGUGGGGGAUGACGGCCUUCGGGUUGUAAACCUCUUUUACCACCAACGCAGGCUCCCAGUUCUCUGGGGGUUGACGGUAGGUGGGGAAUAAAGACCGGCUAACUACGUGGCAGCAGCCGCGGUAAUACGUAAGGUCCGAGCGUUGUCCGGAAUUAUUGGGCGUAAAGAGCUCGUAAGCGGCGUGUCGCGUCUGCUGUGAAAGACCGGGGCUUAACUCCGGGUCUGCAGUGGAUACGGGCAUGCUAAAAGUAGGUAGGGGAAACUGGAAUUCCUGGUGUAGCGGUGAAAUGCGCAGAUAUCAGGAGGAACACCGGUGGCGAAAGCGGGUUUCUGGGCCUUACCUGACGCUGAGGAGCGAAAACAUGGGGAGCGAACAGGAUUAGAUACCCUGGGAGUCCAUGCCGUAAACGUUGGGCGCUAGGUGUGGGGACUUU